Molecule: ribosomal RNA, 520 nt
Filed under: uncultured Glomus
Lineage: Eukaryota; Fungi; Glomeromycota; Glomeromycetes; Glomerales; Glomeraceae
Description: SSU rRNA
Rfam family: Eukaryotic small subunit ribosomal RNA
Source: RNAcentral
AGCAGCCGCGGUAAUUCCAGCUCCAAUAGCGUAUAUUAAAGUUGUUGCAGUUAAAAAGCUCGUAGUUGAAUUUCGGGGUUAGUAGGUUGGUCAUGCCUCUGGUAUGUACUGGUCUCACUGAUUCCUCCUUCCUGAUGAGCCGUAAUGCCAUUAAUUUGGUGUUGCGGGGAAUUUGGACUGUUACUUUGAAAAAAUUAGAGUGUUUAAAGCAAGCUAACGCUUGAAUACAUUAGCAUGGAAUAAUGAAAUAGGACGUUCGAUCCUAUUUUGUUGGUUUCUAGGAUUGACGUAAUGAUUAAUCGGGAUAGUUGGGGGCAUUAGUAUUCAAUUGUCAGAGGUGAAAUUCUUGGAUUUAUUGAAGACUAACUACUGCGAAAGCAUUUGCCAAGGAUGUUUUCAUUAAUCAAGAACGAAAGUUAGGGGAUCGAAGACGAUCAGAUACCGUCGUAGUCUUAACCAUAAACUAUGCCGACUAGGGAUCGGAUGAUGUUAAUUUUUUUAAUGACUCAUUCGGCGCCUU